GUUGAAGAACGUAGCGAAAUGCGAUACUUGGUGUGAAUUGCAGAAUCCCGUGAACCAUCGAGUCUUUGAACGCAAGUUGCGCCUCAAGCCAUUAGGUUGAGGGCACGUCUGCCUGGGCGUCACAUAUCGUUGACUGAUGCCAGUUUCCUCGUGAUGGGUGACUGUGCAGGGCGAAUGAUGGCUUCCCGUGAGCAUUGUUGCCUCAUGGUUGGUUGAAAAUUGAGUCCUUGGUAGGGAGCGCCGUGAUAGAUGGUGGUUGAGUGACGAACGAGACCCUAUCAUGUGAGACCCCUACCGAAUUUGGCCUUCAUGACCCACAUGCGUCUUUGGAACGCUCAUGACGAGACCUCAGGUCAGGCGGGGCUACCCGCUGAGUUUAAGCAUAUCAAUAAGCGGAGGA
This 400-nucleotide unclassified non-coding RNA is filed under the name soil metagenome. RNAcentral describes it as "partial contains 5.8S ribosomal RNA, internal transcribed spacer 2, and large subunit ribosomal RNA". The stretch from base 1 to 122 matches the Rfam family "5.8S ribosomal RNA", at positions 35 to 154 of the family's 154-position model. The record is from RNAcentral.